AACACCGCAAAUAAUAUGAAUUGCAAGAGAGGUUUUUUUUUUAAGUCUGAAUAUAAUAUAAGGAAAAUAAUUAGAGGGUUGAUUAAUAAGUAAGGAGAAAUGACAAAGGUAACUAAAGAAAAACAAUGCGAAAAUUAACGUGAUUGAAAUAAACUAUGCAAACUAUCACAAAGAACAAGAAAUAUUAGUAAAAAAUCAAAAAAUAAGUUAACCGUCCCUGGGUGAAGACCGUCCGCCGCCCGCCAUGUCUGAACAACACGGACACGGUUGAAGCAAUUACGCUUAUUACCGCUAUAACUAUGUGUAAAUAGUCACCAUGAACUACUGGAAUGACGCAAGUGGAGCAGCAGUAGUGGACAUGGAGGUGGAGUGGCGUCAGUGUUGGAGUCGUGGGCGAGGCAUGGCGGCUCUUUAUAUAAGCGAAAACACCAAAUAAUUCCAUACUACCACAAUCUCCCUGUCUCCCUUUCUCCCUGCGCCCCGGCCCCCCUGCCCUCGCCCCGCCCAGACACCAUGGCCCGGCAGCAACACCACUCCACCAGCUACCUGACGCCGGCUGACGCACUCCUGGCACAGCAGCGAGCAAGUGUCAGAUGAUAAAGAUGUUGUGGUGGCUGUGGAGGUGUUCAUAUGUUAGUGUGCAGGAUUGCAGUAAACCUCCCUGAAGGUUGCAGAGGUGGUCAGGAAGUGUCCAGUCUAGGCUGUCACGAGGCUUUGUGAUGAGGAUCUCCCGCUGGUUGUCACUGUUAACGACUAUGUACUGCCACUCACAGGAAAUGGUGGCGAUGUGGAUAGCAAGUGGAAGAGGCCUUGGGAGACUGCCGUGGGUGGGGAGCAACAGCCGCACCCCACUGGAGUCUUCAGGAACCAAUAGUUAGAGUUUUGUCUUUAUCUGUGAAAUCAAGGAUGGUGGUGAUGGUGGUGAUGGUGGUGAUGGUGGUGGUGCCUCAUUGCAAGACGACAUGUGAAGGUGUGAAGAAAUCAAGGAUGGUGGUGAUGGUGGUGCCGCCUCAUUGCAGGACAAGAUGUGAAGGUGCCUGCAGCCAGUGGUGGUGUCCUGUGUGCCUGCCUGGUGGUGCAGCCUGGGGUGUUGCUUGCUUUAGUGUAAGUAAAUCUUGCAAGGUCGAUCUGCCAGCUGUCUCCAGUGUAGUGUAGUGUAGUAUGCCUUGCCGUGCGUCUUUGGGAAUAAAUAAAUUUGUGAUUAUUCUCGUGUGAAUUAUAUAGCGUGAUAAAGUUGCAGAAUGUGGUUCUUGAAAAAUAUAGAUUUGGUGGUAAACUAAUCAUGCCUUCUCAAGUAAAUAAAUAAAUAAAUAAAUAAAUAAAUAGGACCCAAAAUACUAAUACAAAUUGAUCCUCAGGUCUAAAAAAAAAGCUAGGAUAGGCCUAUUUUUGGCUUAACUAAUCUUGCCCUCUCAAAUAAAUAAAUAAAUAAAUAGGACCCAAAAUACUGAUACAAUUGAUCCCCUCAGGUCAAAAAAAAAGCCAGGAUAGGCCUAUAAGCCAGGAUAGGCCUAUUUUUUGGCUAAGUUUAAGGUGAAAUUUGCACACAGAAGCCCUGUCCGAGCGACUCCGGUGUCGCUCGGACAGGGCUUCUGUGUGCAAGUUUCACCUUAAACUUAGCCAAAAAUAGGCCUAUCCUGGCUUUAAAUAGGCCUAUCCUGGCUUUUUUUUUGACCAGAGAGGAUCAUCAUUUGUUUUACUAGUAUUUUUUGCAUGUUUAUUUAUUUGUUUAUUUAUUUAUUUAUUUAUUUUACUUAUUUUAUUUAUUUAUUUAUUUAUUUAUCAAGGCCAUGUAUGUGAAUGUUACACCAGAAACCUUAUUUUCAAUUUGUAAAAGAGUUGUUAAUAUAAUUUCCACAAGUAUGAACAAGAUAAUAUAUGUUUAAAUUAAAUUGUCAAAGUUUCUGAAGAGACAUAUGAAUUUUUACACGAGAAAGGUGGUUUAUUUACAACUUAUACUAAUAAUUCCUUAAGUAUGUACAAGAUAAUAUUUAAUCACUAUUAUUUAAUGACAUAAAACUUUAAUAAAUACACACAAUUAUGAUAAAACAUCUAUUUAUUUUCCUUGUGUCCGAGAACGCCUGUGUCAACUUGAGUGAGACAAGUGUUGCGGACUGCGGACUUCAGCCUUUGCAAGUCCUGAAGGCAGCUUGUCGUCCCCACCACAGCUUGAAGGGAGUCUUCCUGCUGUUAAUUCCUUCACAAUAUUAUUCCUGCUUUAAAUUCUUGCCUUACAGUCUUAAUAUAACUUGAUAACUCUUGUACAUCUUUCCUCACCACUCUUCCUGCUUCACAAUUUAUUCCUGCUUUAAAUUCUUGCCUUACGAUCUUCUUACAACUUGAAAAACUCUUGUACAUCUUUCCUCACCACUCUUCCUGCUUCACAAUUUAUUCCUGCUUUAAAUUCUUGCCUUACGAUCUUCUUACAACUUGAUAACUCUUGUA
Molecule: long non-coding RNA, 2445 nt
Organism: Scylla paramamosain (green mud crab)
Lineage: Eukaryota; Metazoa; Arthropoda; Malacostraca; Decapoda; Portunidae
Exons: 6
Source: RefSeq, a predicted model, not a curated record